RNAcentral lists this transfer RNA (84 nucleotides) under Bacteroidota bacterium. Its description in RNAcentral is "Bacteroidetes bacterium (hydrothermal vent metagenome) tRNA-Leu". It matches the Rfam family "tRNA". From Rfam's summary of the family: Transfer RNA (tRNA) molecules are approximately 80 nucleotides in length. Their secondary structure includes four short double-helical elements and three loops (D, anti-codon, and T loops). Lineage: Bacteria; Pseudomonadati; Bacteroidota. The record is from RNAcentral.
GCCCGGGUGGCGGAAUUGGUAGACGCGCUAGAUUCAAAAUCUGGUGUCAGCGAUGGCGUGGGGGUUCGAGUCCCCCCCCGGGUA